GACGAACGCUGGCGGCGUGCUUAACACAUGCAAGUCGAACGGAAAGGCCCUGCUUUUGUGGGGUGCUCGAGUGGCGAACGGGUGAGUAACACGUGAGUAACCUGCCCUUGACUUUGGGAUAACUUCAGGAAACUGGGGCUAAUACCGGAUAGGAGCUCCUGCUGCAUGGUGGGGGUUGGAAAGUUUCGGCGGUUGGGGAUGGACUCGCGGCUUAUCAGCUUGUUGGUGGGGUAGUGGCUUACCAAGGCUUUGACGGGUAGCCGGCCUGAGAGGGUGACCGGCCACAUUGGGACUGAGAUACGGCCCAGACUCCUACGGGAGGCAGCAGUGGGGAAUAUUGCACAAUGGGCGGAAGCCUGAUGCAGCAACGCCGCGUGCGGGAUGACGGCCUUCGGGUUGUAAACCGCUUUCGCCUGUGACGAAGCGUGAGUGACGGUAAUGGGUAAAGAAGCUCCAGCUAACUACGUG
This 468-nucleotide ribosomal RNA is filed under the name uncultured bacterium. RNAcentral describes it as "partial 16S ribosomal RNA". It matches the Rfam family "Bacterial small subunit ribosomal RNA", at positions 28 to 507 of the family's 1533-position model. The record is from RNAcentral.